UCUAAUACCGGAUACGACCACUGAGGGCAUCUUCGGUGGUGGAAAGCUCCGGCGGUGAAGGAUGAGCCCGCGGCCUAUCAGCUUGUUGGUGGGGUAAUGGCCUACCAAGGCGACGACGGG
This 120-nucleotide ribosomal RNA is filed under the name Streptomyces lavendulocolor. RNAcentral describes it as "partial 16S rRNA". It matches the Rfam family "Bacterial small subunit ribosomal RNA", at positions 162 to 283 of the family's 1533-position model. The record is from RNAcentral. Lineage: Bacteria; Bacillati; Actinomycetota; Actinomycetes; Kitasatosporales; Streptomycetaceae.